Molecule: transfer RNA, 88 nt
Filed under: Dysgonamonadaceae bacterium
Lineage: Bacteria; Pseudomonadati; Bacteroidota; Bacteroidia; Bacteroidales; Dysgonomonadaceae
Also listed under: 1 other name
Description: tRNA-Ser
Rfam family: tRNA
About the family: Transfer RNA (tRNA) molecules are approximately 80 nucleotides in length. Their secondary structure includes four short double-helical elements and three loops (D, anti-codon, and T loops).
Source: RNAcentral
GGAAAGGUGCUCGAGUGGUUUAAGAGGCACGCUUGGAAAGCGUGUGAGCUUCAAAAGGGCUCCGGGGGUUCGAAUCCCUUCCUUUCCG